ACGAGGUGGCCGGCGUCGUCGGCGCCGCCGCCGGCGAGGUGCGGGAGGAGGACCUGCAGGCGAUGCCGUACCUGAAGGCCGUCGUGCUGGAGGCGCUCCGGCGCCACCCGCCGGGCCACUUCCUGCUCCCGCACGCCGUGCACGAGGACACCACGCUGGACGGGUACCGCGUGCCCGCCGGCGCGCCGGUCAACUUCGCCGUGGGCGACAUCGGGCUCGACGGGGAGGUCUGGGACGCGCCGUCAGAGUUCCGGCCGGAGCGGUUCCUCCCCGGCGGGGAAGGGGAGGACGUCGACCUGACGGGCAGCAAGGAGAUCAAGAUGAUGCCGUUCGGCGCCGGCCGGAGGGUCUGCCCCGGCAUGGCGCUCGCGCUGAUGCACCUCGAGUACUUCGUGGCCAACCUCGUGAGGGAGUUCGAGUGGCGCGAGGCUGACGGCG
This 438-nucleotide long non-coding RNA is filed under the name Setaria italica (foxtail millet). Its description in RNAcentral is "long non-coding RNA (SITA_LNC004329)". Lineage: Eukaryota; Viridiplantae; Streptophyta; Magnoliopsida; Poales; Poaceae. The record is from RNAcentral.